GAUGAACGCUGGCGGCGUGCUUAACACAUGCAAGUCGAACGGAAAGGCUCCUGCUUGCAGGGGUACUCGAGUGGCGAACGGGUGAGCAACACGUGGGUGAUCUGCCCUGCACUUCGGGAUAAGCCUGGGAAACUGGGUCUAAUACCGGAUAGGACCACAUUUUGGAUGGUGUGGUGGAAAGUUUUUCGGUGUGGGAUGAGCUCGCGGCCUAUCAGCUUGUUGGUGGGGUAAUGGCCUACCAAGGCGUCGACGGGUAGCCGGCCUGAGAGGGUGUACGGCCACAUUGGGACUGAGAUACGGCCCAGACUCCUACGGGAGGCAGCAGUGGGGAAUAUUGCACAAUGGGCGCAAGCCUGAUGCAGCGACGCCGCGUGGGGGAUGACGGCCUUCGGGUUGUAAACUCCUUUCGCUAGGGACGAAGCGCAAGUGACGGUACCUGGAGAAGAAGCACCGGCUAACUACGUG
This 465-nucleotide ribosomal RNA is filed under the name uncultured bacterium. RNAcentral's name for it is "partial 16S ribosomal RNA". It matches the Rfam family "Bacterial small subunit ribosomal RNA", at positions 28 to 507 of the family's 1533-position model. The record is from RNAcentral.